This 200-nucleotide ribosomal RNA is filed under the name uncultured bacterium. RNAcentral describes it as "partial 16S ribosomal RNA". It matches the Rfam family "Bacterial small subunit ribosomal RNA", at positions 328 to 539 of the family's 1533-position model. The record is from RNAcentral.
ACGCUCGACACCUACGGGAGGCAGCAGUGGGGAAUAUUGGGCAAUGGAGGCAACUCUGACCCAGCAACGCCGCGUGAAUGAUGAAGGUCUUCGGAUUGUAAAGUUCUGUGACGGGGGACGAACACAAUGACGGUACCCCGAUAGCAAGCCACGGCUAACUACGUGCCACAGCCGCGGUAAUCUGAGCGGGCUGGCAAGGC